GUCUAUGGCCAGGCCACCCUGAACACGCCCGAUCUCGUCUGAUCUCGGAAGCUAAGCAGGGUUGGGCCUGGUUAGUACUUGGAUGAGAGACCACCUAGGAAGACCCGGUGCUGUGGGAU
This 119-nucleotide ribosomal RNA is filed under the name Pteropus alecto (black flying fox). Lineage: Eukaryota; Metazoa; Chordata; Mammalia; Chiroptera; Pteropodidae. The record is from RNAcentral.